AGGGUUUGAUUAUGGCUCAGAACGAACGCUUGCUGCAUGCUUUAUACAUGCAAGUCGAACGAAGGCCCUAGCUUGCUAGGUGUCCUUAGUGGCGCACGGGUGAGUAACACGUGGGAACAUACCUCAUAGUACGGAAUAACUGCGGGAAACUGUAGCUAAUACCGUAUAUUCCAGCAAUGGGAAAGAUUUAUCGCUAUGAGAUUGGCCCGCGCAAGAUUAGUUUGUUGGUAAGGUAAUGGCUUACCAAGGCUACGAUCUUUAGCUGGUUUGAGAGGAUGAUCAGCCACACUGGGACUGAGACACGGCCCAGACUCCUACGGGAGGCAGCAGUAGGGAAUAUUGGACAAUGGGGGCAACCCUGAUCCAGCAAUGCAGCGUGAGUGACGAAGGCCUUAGGGUUGUAAAACUCUUUCAUCGGUGAGGAUAAUGACAGUAACCGAAGAAGAAGGACCGGCUAAUUCCGUGCCAGCAGCCGCGGUAAUAC
RNAcentral lists this ribosomal RNA (484 nucleotides) under uncultured bacterium. Its description in RNAcentral is "bacterial SSU rRNA". It matches the Rfam family "Bacterial small subunit ribosomal RNA", at positions 8 to 526 of the family's 1533-position model. The record is from RNAcentral.